ACAGUACUUAGCUCAAACCCAAUAAAUUAAAACUACUUAAACCAUGAUAAAACAAAACAUUUAUGUUUUCAAAGUAUAGGAGAUAGAAAUUUACCUUUGAAGCUAUAGAGAAAGUACCGUAAGGGAAUAAAACAUAAUAUACCAAAGUACAAAACAGCAAAGCUUACCCCUUGUACCUUUUGCAUAAUGAGUUAACUAGACUAAGCUUAGCAAAAUGAAUUUAAGUUAAACCCCCCGAAACUAGACGAGCUAUCUAUAAACAGUCUCUCCAGGACUAACCCAUCUAUGUAGCAAAAUAGUGGGAAGAUUAAUAGAUAGAGGUGACAAGCCUACCGAGCCUAGUGAUAGCUGGUUGUCCAGAAAAGAAUUUAAGUUCACAUUUAAAUAUACCAAAAACAACAGAAUUCUAAUGUAUAUUUAAAUAUUAAUCUUUAGGGGUACAGCCCUAAAGAUAAAGGAUUCAACCUUAAUUAGAGAGUAAGAACUUAAAAACAACUAUAGUUGGCCUAAAAGCAGCCAUCAAUAAAGAAAGCGUUCAAGCUCAACAAACUCAAUAGUACUAAUACCUAACCUAAUAUCCACCUCCUAACAUCAUAACUGGACUAAUCUAUUCAUACAUAGAAGCAAUAAUGUUAACAUGAGUAACAAGAAUAACUUCUCCCUGCAUAAGUGUAUAUCAGACCGAAUUAAUCGCUGAUAGUUAACAAAAACAAAUAAAAUUACACCACAAGACAUUUACCUAACAUUAUGUUAAUCCAACACAGGCAUGCUACAGGGAAAGAUUAAAAUGAGUAAAAGGAAUUCAGCAAACAUAAGCCUCGCCUGUUUACCAAAAACAUCACCUCUAGCAUUCAUAGUAUUAGAGGCACUGCCUGCCCAGUGACACCAGUUCAACGGCCGCGGUAUCCUGACCGUGCAAAGGUAGCAUAAUCACUUGUUCUCUAAAUAGGGACUUGUAUGAACGGCCACACGAAGGCUUUACUGUCUCUUACUCCCAAUCAGUGAAAUUGACCUCUCCGUGAAGAGGCGGAAAUAAAAAAAUAAGACGAGAAGACCCUAUGGAGCUUUAAUUAAUUAAUUCAAGAGUUAGAAAAUUAUAAAUCGAACCGACUUAACCCUAUUCUCUCAUGAAUUAACAAUUUAGGUUGGGGUGACCUCGGAGCAUAACAUACCCUCCGAGAAAUUACAAAUUUAGACAAACUAGUCAAAAUAAAUACAUUAACUGAUCCAAAACAAUUUGAUCAACGGAACAAGUUACCCUAGGGAUAACAGCGCAAUCCUAUUUAAGAGUCCCUAUCGAUAAUGGGGUUUACGACCUCGAUGUUGGAUCAGGACAUCCUAAUGGUGCAGCAGCUAUUAAGGGUUCGUUUGUUCAACGAUUAAAGUCCUACGUGAUCUGAGUUCAGACCGGAGUAAUCCAGGUCGGUUUCUAUCUAUUUUAUGUUUCUCCCAGUACGAAAGGACCAGAGAAACGGGGCCCACUUCAAAUCAGCGCCCUAAGUAAACAGAUGAUAAAUUCUUAAUCUGAAAAAAACUAUAAAUAAUACUACCCUAAACCAGGGUUU
This 1565-nucleotide ribosomal RNA is filed under the name Thyroptera tricolor (Spix's disk-winged bat). RNAcentral describes it as "16S ribosomal RNA". It matches the Rfam family "Bacterial large subunit ribosomal RNA". The record is from RNAcentral. Lineage: Eukaryota; Metazoa; Chordata; Mammalia; Chiroptera; Thyropteridae.